RNAcentral lists this unclassified non-coding RNA (392 nucleotides) under soil metagenome. RNAcentral describes it as "partial contains 5.8S ribosomal RNA, internal transcribed spacer 2, and large subunit ribosomal RNA". The stretch from base 3 to 123 matches the Rfam family "5.8S ribosomal RNA", at positions 36 to 154 of the family's 154-position model. The record is from RNAcentral.
GAAUGAAGAACGCAGCGAAAUGCGAUACUUGGUGUGAAUUGCAGAAUCCCGUGAACCAUCGAGUCUUUGAACGCAAGUUGCGCCCGAAGCCAUUAGGCCGAGGGCACGCCUGCCUGGGCGUCACACGUCGUUGCCCCCCCAUCUACUCCUUCGGGAUUGCGGGGGGCGGAUGAUGGCCUCUCGUGCGCCUCGUCGCGCGGUUGGCCUAAAUGCCAAGUCCUCGGCGACGCACGCCACGACAAUCGGUGGUUGCGAAACCUCGGUUGCCUGUCGUGUGCGGUCGUCGCGCAUCGAGGGCUCGAAAAAAUUGCCGGGCUUCGGCUCGACUUUCAACGCGACCCCAGGUCAGGCGGGGUUACCCGCUGAAUUUAAGCAUAUCAAUAAGCGGAGGA